CGUCCAGACUCCUACGGGAGGCAGCAGUGGGGAAUAUUGCACAAUGGGGGAAACCCUGAUGCAGCGACGCCGCGUGAGCGAUGAAGUAUUUCGGUCUGUAAAGCUCUAUCAGCAGGGAAGAAAAUGACGGUACCUGACUAAGAAGCCCCGACUAACUACGUGCCAGCAGCCGCGGUAAUACGUAGGGGGCAAGCGUUAUCCGGAUUUACUGGGUGUAAAGGGCGUGUAGGCGGGAAAGCAAGUCAGAUGUGAAAACCAUGGGCUCAACCUGUGGCCUGCAUUUGAAACUGUUUUUCUUGGGUACUGGAGAGGCAGACGGAAUUCCUAGUGUAGCGGUGAAAUGCGUAGAUAUUAGGAGGAACACCAGUGGCGAAGGCGACUUUCUGGACUGUACCUGACGCUGAGGCGCGAAAGCGUGGGUAGCGAACGGGAUUAGAUACCCUGGUAAG
RNAcentral lists this ribosomal RNA (449 nucleotides) under uncultured bacterium. RNAcentral describes it as "bacterial SSU rRNA". It matches the Rfam family "Bacterial small subunit ribosomal RNA", at positions 328 to 793 of the family's 1533-position model. The record is from RNAcentral.